This 292-nucleotide ribosomal RNA is filed under the name uncultured bacterium. RNAcentral's name for it is "partial 16S ribosomal RNA". It matches the Rfam family "Bacterial small subunit ribosomal RNA", at positions 28 to 322 of the family's 1533-position model. The record is from RNAcentral.
GACGAACGCUGGCGGCGUGCUUAACACAUGCAAGUCGAACGGUGAACCUCUUUCGGGAGGGGAUCAGUGGCGAACGGGUGAGUAACACGUGGGCAACCUGCCCCCGGCUCUGGGAUAACUCCAAGAAAUUGGGGCUAAUACCGGAUAUGACCGCUGGCCGCAUGGUCUGGUGGUGGAAAGAUUUAUCGGCUGGGGAUGGGCCCGCGGCCUAUCAGCUUGUUGGUGGGGUAGUGGCCUACCAAGGCGACGACGGUAGCCGGCCUGAGAGGGUGACCGGCCACACUGGGACUGA